GACGAACGCUGGCGGCGUGCUUAACACAUGCAAGUCGAACGGAAAGGCCCUGCUUUUGUGGGGUGCUCGAGUGGCGAACGGGUGAGUAGCACGUGAGUAACCUGCCCUUGACUUUGGGAUAACUUCAGGAAACUGGGGCUAAUACCGGAUAGGAGCUCCUGCUGCAUGGUGGGGGUUGGAAAGUUUCGGCGGUUGGGGAUGGACUCGCGGCUUAUCAGCUUGUUGGUGGGGUAGUGGCUUACCAAGGCUUUGACGGGUAGCCGGCCUGAGAGGGUGACCGGCCACAUUGGGACUGAGAUACGGCCCAGACUCCUACGGGAGGCAGCAGUGGGGAAUAUUGCACAAUGGGCGGAAGCCUGAUGCAGCAACGCCGCGUGCGGGAUGACGGCCUUCGGGUUGUAAACCGCUUUCGCCUGUGACGAAGCGUGAGUGACGGUAACGGGUAAAGAAGCACCGGCUAACUACGUG
RNAcentral lists this ribosomal RNA (468 nucleotides) under uncultured bacterium. Its description in RNAcentral is "partial 16S ribosomal RNA". It matches the Rfam family "Bacterial small subunit ribosomal RNA", at positions 28 to 507 of the family's 1533-position model. The record is from RNAcentral.